RNAcentral lists this ribosomal RNA (253 nucleotides) under Ruminococcus callidus. Its description in RNAcentral is "partial 16S ribosomal RNA". It matches the Rfam family "Bacterial small subunit ribosomal RNA", at positions 524 to 776 of the family's 1533-position model. Lineage: Bacteria; Bacillati; Bacillota; Clostridia; Eubacteriales; Oscillospiraceae. The record is from RNAcentral.
UACGUAGGGAGCGAGCGUUGUCCGGAAUUACUGGGUGUAAAGGGAGCGUAGGCGGGAUGGCAAGUCAGAUGUGAAAACUAUGGGCUUAACCCAUAGACUGCAUUUGAAACUGCUGUUCUUGAGUGAGGUAGAGGUAAGCGGAAUUCCUGGUGUAGCGGUGAAAUGCGUAGAGAUCAGGAGGAACAUCGGUGGCGAAGGCGGCUUACUGGGCCUUUACUGACGCUGAGGCUCGAAAGCGUGGGGAGCAAACAGG